This 1651-nucleotide long non-coding RNA is filed under the name Homo sapiens (human). RNAcentral's name for it is "PRR34 antisense RNA 1 (PRR34-AS1)". Lineage: Eukaryota; Metazoa; Chordata; Mammalia; Primates; Hominidae. The record is from RNAcentral.
CGCGGAGCACGGAGGACGGGGCCGGGCGACCUGGGCACCAGCAGGACCCGAGGCCAGGAGCCAGGGGCCCAGAAGAUUGAGCUUCUAGAGCCUCAGAGAUGGAAUUCGCCGUUUUGCCGCGAUUUGGCGUUAACUUAUUGACCCAUGGGGAGGAGGGUCACUUCCCGUGAAAAGAAGGCAGAGAUGUUUUGCUGUGCCCAGUGUGAGGAAGCGAAGGAAAAGAAAGAUCUUUUGAAAAUGUGUACAUCUACUUGCAGCUUGAAAAUUCCAAGUGCCAGACAUUUUUCUUGGAGGAAAUAAAUGUCUUCAAUUUAUUCAUCUUACCUGUUGAUUAUGUUCUGUAAUGAUUUAUUUUAUAAUUUAAUCCUUGUCUAGAACCGAGGCCAUCUUUGGAAAGUAAAAGACCUAGGUCUCUUUGGUCCAGGAGACAUUGUGGCCCUCUCUUAAAAUCAUUGACUGCCGAGAUCUGGGCCCAGGCGGCUCUCGGACUGAACCGGUCUGUGCUAGGCAGCCUGGCCCACUCGGCCUUCAAAACACAAGGGAUGGGAGACAUAUGCUCGGCUCACAUCGUUUUGUUUUGAUUUAUUUUAAACUGCUUAAGAUGAUUUUAGCACAAGGAGUGGUGUAUCUUACUUGCAUUCUGAGAGCCACUGGAUUUGCAAGCUAGAGUACAAUUUUUUUUUUAAUCCAAAUUUAGAAAUUGCCUUUUAGAGUAGACAACAGCAUGCUACUUUGCCUUUUAACUCACUUUUAAAGAACGAUUCUUAAGAUCAAGUACAUUGAAUUUGGAGAUUGGUCCCCCUCCGUUAUUAGGGGCUGGAAAUGGCCCACUUUUCAAAAAUAAGGUCAGAAAAGGGGUGUUUCUGACCUAAGAGUUCUUCCAGGCUGGGCUCGUACCACAGAGAUUCUUCCACACCCAUGUCCUGAGUCCUUGUCCUACACACCAUUUUUUCUUCCAAGGAGAAGGAGUGUGGCAUUCAGUUCCAGUGUCAUCGUGUGGAAAAGAGUCCCUGCCUGGCUGAGAAACUGUCACAGGCAGCCGGGCCACUUCCCAGCAUGACCCACAAGCCCGAUGGUGCCCCUCGAAUGGUUAAGGGACCCGUACAGAUACCAUUCUUUUAAAGCAAGCCAAUGCAAUCUUCACGAAUUGCAGUUCCACCCUGGCUGCUGGUACUAACUCUAAUAAUGGAAAAAAAUUUAAAAGAUUGGGGACAACAGGAAACACAUUGGAUCCCCAGGGGAAACGGCCUGGAAGCUACAGUAGAGACAUGGGUGACCCAAGGGCUCUGUUCAAGUCCUGGGGCUGUUCCCUUUAUUCCUCCAAGCCUCAGCUCCCCGGAUUUAAAGUGAGAACAGCACCCAGCCCAGCCCACUGUCAAGGGCUGUUGCAGGAAUAUGACAACAGCCACCAAUAUUUGCAUAGCAGAGAUGCCCAGUUUCGUUUUCUAUUUGAAAGUUUCUCUGAAGGGGGAUGUGCUAGAGACACGAGAACAACUGCUACCAUCUUAAUAACUUUUCUGGCAAUACACGACGAUGAUUGUUUAUGUUAAUCUCAUAACUAUUAACAAUAAUUCAUUUCAUUCUCAUAAUGAAUUAUAUCUAUUUGACUUAUAAUAAAUAGAAUCAUAUCAGUAAAAAAAAAAAAAAAAAA